GGAAUGUGGAUGGGGAGAUUCUCCAAGCAUGCCAAGUCUCUGUACAAGUAUGUAGGGGCCUAAUCAACUUGUUUGCAUCAGGACCUGAAGUUUAGUAUACAUAAAUUAUGAAGGUCAUAUAAAUUCCCAAUAAAUACAAAUGGUCUGAAGUUUAGUAUAUAUAAAUUAUGUUGGCCUGAAUUCCCAACAACAGACAUCAAGGAGAACAAUAUGAAGAGGAAUAAAUCUUAUGCUUGUCCAUUACAAAACACAAGGGCUAGGAUUAGUAGUAGUUUAAGUUAUACGACACUGGAACCCC
Molecule: long non-coding RNA, 298 nt
Filed under: Musa acuminata (dwarf banana)
Lineage: Eukaryota; Viridiplantae; Streptophyta; Magnoliopsida; Zingiberales; Musaceae
Description: long non-coding RNA (MACU_LNC006405)
Source: RNAcentral